Molecule: non-coding RNA, 4298 nt
Organism: Myodes glareolus (Bank vole)
Lineage: Eukaryota; Metazoa; Chordata; Mammalia; Rodentia; Cricetidae
Source: RefSeq, a predicted model, not a curated record
CCAGUUUAUAAUUGUUAUAAACAUCUGUGUGUUUCUUUGGGACUGAAUGGCUGUGGGACAGGGCAGGACAUAAACUCCAUUUAUAACAAUGGGCUACCAAGUUUCUGACACCUCCUUCCAUACCUGUCCAGGAAUGCACAGCUCAGUGUCUCUUCCAGAUUCCACCACCCAGUAAUCCUUGCCCACGGAAGGAAAGGUGUCUGCUUUUAAGGCCAUCAUGCAGCAUGCUCUAGAGAUUGCUGAGAGGUGUGAUAGCUUCUCUGACUUUCAAUUUCCCCAGAUCCGGGGACUUUCUUUCUCAGAUGAAAGUGAAACAUAGAAAGAAAUGCUUCUGAAAUCUGAUCUAAAACCUACUGCUUUAACAGGCCCCUGAGAAGCAACCCCCGUCAGUCAUUCUAUUGACUGUUUUUAAACAAAAUGAAGUGAUCUCUGUAUGAUAUCCGGAGGAAGAGAUUUACUAGGGUUAGCAACAAAAAGAAUGGGGACAUCCCAGAGAAAAGGGGGGUACAGAAGUAAGAGCAAGUAUUUGUUUUUUAAAGUGUCUGUUUAGAAUUUUGUGGUUGGAAACACUGAACUGGAGCUGUUUAAUCAAGCAGGGAAGGGAUACCUCAACCCACCAGGAGCAUAAAACUCCAAACCACUGCGCAACGUUUUGGCAAAUAACAAAACUGGAUGGAACCUUACGUGAUGUUGCCUCACUAGUUUCCAAACUCACGCUCCAGUCAGUUCAGGCUUCUUAGUGCCUCUCUGAUUCACAUCCAACAUGAAGCACUCCUAUUAGUUAGCAGCAAGAGCUUUAACAUGCCCAGAUCUUCCGAAGGCUAAGGCAGUGGCCAGCCAGAUGUUCAAGAGGGAUAUCGCUCUGCAGACUGACCACAGAUGCUGUGGUUCUAUAGCUGACCGUGGGCAGCUGACCCUGGAAAUGGAUAGCCACUUCCAUUCACACACUGUCGAAUGCCUCUGUUGACCUCAACACUGUCCAUUAGGAGACCACGUGAUCACAGAAGACUGGGCUGGACCAAGCAUGAAAGACCCUGUAGCUUGGCUUUUGCACUUUCAGAGGAGGAAUAGAGGUUCCAUUCGGAAGAUGGCCAUGGCUUAGUGAACUUCAUAAAACUUCCCAAAUGGUUAUCUCUAUAAAGAACUGAUAGAUGGGUUUGACUCUGCUUAAUGGGGGUCCAAACUUCCCUUUCCGAGUCCCAACAUGGGUUCCUAUCCAGCCCCUGUGGUAGAAGCCUUUAAGCUGCAGCCCCUAACAUGCACUACGGUUUGCCUUCUGCGAUUGUUUCGUAGGCGAGCGUCCCACCAGCCGGCAGCUCAGGGUGUUUGAGGGAGCAGAAACGAGUGACUUUUCAGUCCUAACUUGUGCCCUCUGGGGAAGAAAGUGUCUUGGUCAAAAUAAUAUGAACAGCAAGCCUCCUGAAAUGAAAAUGAACAAACGGCAUCCAGUUGGAGCCCAGGCUCCUUCCAGGUCUCCACCCACACAGGAAGAGGCUGUGCUUCCCGGUAUGCGCCUGCGCACUGCCUCUGGUGCUUAUUUCAAAACCCUGCCUGAGAAAGUUGCGCCGUUGCGCGGGACUCUUGUCACCUAGACAAACAGCUUAGUCUCCCCUUUGAACCCGAGGGAAGCCAGACAGAAAUUAUGUGAAUUUGACAAGCUGGAGAAAGAGGUUGUCCUUGGCUGUUGCUCAGACCCCUGAGGGACAUCUUCACAUAUGGCGCAAGACCUGCCCAGAAGGGAGGCCCUGGGCAGCCCCCAGGCUUCCCAAGGCCUCUUCUUUAUUAUCAGUUUCUCCCUUGCUUCUGCCUAAGCUAUCAGAGUCUGCAGGCAGGUUGGGCAGCUGGGCUGUACUCCCAGCAGCUCCGCUGUGAUUAAAAGGGCAACUGGGCCCCUCCACCUUUUCUUCCGGUGCCUGUGUGGGCAUCAUCUUGAGCAAGAGCUGCCUGGCAGGUGACCGCAGAUCCUGUAUAAUCCUUCUGCCUUGGCCUCCUUUCCCAAGAUCCCCUUCCGCUGUUCGCACUCACACUUGCUUUCUAACAGCUAGAAGGGAAUUAAAGUGUGCUAAAGGAACAGGCUAGAAGACUCGCAAGUCCAAUGGCAAAUCCGUUUUCUUUUUGCUUCACGUCCUACUAUUAUCUGUGGCGGUUGGGGUUUGGCUUUUGUGUCAUUAGAAAGGAACGUUGGUGUGCCCCAGAAUUUCUUAAGCAGCACUUGCAAAGCAAGUUGUGGAUUCCCGCUUCAGAACUCAAGCAGGCAAUGUAUAUUCUUGGGCAGUUACGUGUGAAGAAACGGCGUUUGGAGCAACAAACACUGACGGAACUGCCUACUGUUCUCCAAUCCCUGUGGUAGAACCCUGGAGAUACAAAGGCGAUAAGGCACACCCCGCCACCGCUAAGUCUGAAUUUCUCUCAAACUUUCACUUCACGGUAAAACACGAGACUGAUGAGCACUUUUUUUCCCUAACAAUGAUUUUAGGAGAGUGGGAUUGUGGGAUUGUCCAAGAAGCUCUUUGCAUCUAUUCAUGGCUGGGAGUGUGCACCUGUAGCAACCAGCAUAUACAGAAGAGGAAGCCUCCUUUAUUUACUUAAUGAUGCAUCCUGGGGUCUUUCAAUGCACAGGUUUCAGUGUGUUUCAAAGAAAUCUCACCUAGAGUCCUACUGUGAUGUGUGGAACAAGACCAAGCACUGCAGAGUAUUGGACAUGCUGUUGAUGGGAAGCGGACUCAAAGGAGAAUGAGAUCUCGGCAUCGGUGGCACAGAAAGUUGGAAGGGACUUGGCUGUGGAGGUAAUGGGAGAUCUCAGUAAGCAGCAAUGAAACAGAUGUGCAAAAGUACAGGAAUGACAGGCUCUAUAAUGUGUAAAAGCCAUAUGUCUGUCUUUAUGUGUACAGAGAAGUUUUUUAAAUAAUACUCAAUGAUAUUUGGUUGACGUUGGCAGUGGCAUAUGAACAUGAUUAGGCAUGGAUCUGAAAUACAGACCGUUUACCUGAGAUCGGGAUUGUGGGAGAUUCAUUUCACUAUGCUGAUGGAGAGAAGCUAUAUGGCAUGGCGUCGGGCGCAGACACAUUUGGAUCUUCGUCUUCAGCCAUUGACUGACACAGCUGAAUGAGAGGCCGGGGUAACACUGUGAGAUGGAGAAGACCUAAGCUGUAUUCUGCCUGGCUGCAUAAGUCAAAAUCUACGACAGCUCUCUGUGAAUCAUCCACACCAGUUCAAGAGGCAGAUGUGAUCAGCAGCAGCAGCUUCCUGAAGUCUCUGCAUCUUCGUGUGUCUGAGAGCGAACAGCAGAUGUGAAAGCAUGUGGCUUCCCCUCACCUUCCUUCCCUGAAUUCUCCUGGCUCUUCUACAAGUUUUGGAUGCACCCGAUUCCUUGUAUUAAAUUCCUUUUCUAACCCAAUAACAAAGUGUGACUUCUGGGUUUCUCUCCUAACAUACAUGAGGUCUGGAUGAAAGGGUGACAAAUAAUGAAGAAGCAUUUUGUUACAUGUACACAUGCGUACUAUUCAUUUUUACAAAUAACUGGGUGUCCCCUCCUUAAAAUUUGGAACAAAAAUGCUUGGCAUACAGCAUAGCAGGCAGCAAAUGAGGGAUCAUAAAGUAGAAAGAAACAAGAGGGAAGUAAAAAGUUCAGUCCAAUUGAGAUCCUGGGGUCAAGGGAAUUUAGUACUAACCAAAGAAAAAUGCUAUAGGUAAGUUCACUAACAUCAGGAAACAAACAAAGGGUGACUAGUUAAAUGUGAGCUGUACAUAAAUAAUACUGCAAGUAGAGACUAUUCCAGAAAAGAUGGUUGUGUCCUAAUCCCUGAACCCUACAAAUAAAUACAUGACCAUGCUUGGCAAAUGGGACUCUUACAUGAUUACAGACCCGGAUCUUGAGACAGGGGGAGUAUUCUGAAGUAUGUGGGGGAACCCUAUGUGGUCACCUGGGUGUUUAAGAAGGGGGAACGUUUGCCAACUACAAUCAGAAGAAGAGGUAGCUGAGGAAGGAAGACGUGGGUGGCUCUGAAGAUGAAGGAAGAGUCCAUGAGGCAAGUAUACGGGUGGCCCCAGAAGUUACCAAAGAAAAGAAAAUGUGUUAUCUCCUGCAACCUCCAAAAUGGACUGGACCCCUGCCUGACUCUGUGUUCCCAACCCACUGAUGUCUGUGUCAAAAUUCUAAAUAACAAACUUGUAAGUUAACUUAUAAGCCACUAAAUGUGGAAUGGUUUGUCCCAGGAACAAUAGACAUCCAAAUACAAACAGCUGAUAAUUUUAGUCUAAAUUUGGUCAUAUGGUAUUUGGAAUAUAUACUUAACGAG